AUACUUACCUAGUAGGAGAGAUACCAUGAUCCAAAGGGGGUUUUUCCAGGGCGAGGCUUAUCCACUGCACUAUGGGGUGCUGACCCCUGUGAUUUCCCCAGAUGUGGGAAACUUGACUACAUACUUUGUAACAGUGGGGACUGCAUUCAUGCUCUCCCCUA
This is a small nuclear RNA of Artibeus jamaicensis (Jamaican fruit-eating bat), 161 nucleotides long. RefSeq annotates it as U1 spliceosomal RNA. The transcript has a single exon. The record is from RefSeq and is a predicted model, not a curated record. NCBI's taxonomy places the organism in Eukaryota, Metazoa, Chordata, Mammalia, Chiroptera, Phyllostomidae.